CGGAGUAAAGUAGCUUGCUAUUUUACUUAGUGGCGCACGGGUGAGUAAUGUAUAGCUAACCUGCCCUUUAGUGGGGGACAACAGUUGGAAACGACUGCUAAUACCCCAUACUCCUUCUUAUCAUAAGGUAAGUUGGGAAAGAUUUAUUGCUAAAGGAUGGGGCUUUAUGGUAUCAGCUAGUUGGUGGGGUAAUGGCCUACCAAGGCGAUGACGCCUACCUGGUCUGAGAGGAUGAUCAGGCACACUGGAACUGAGACACGGUCCAGACUCCUACGGGAGGCAGCAGUGGGGAAUAUUGCACAAUGGGGGAAACCCUGAUGCAGCAACGCCGCGUGGAGGAUGACGCAUUUCGGUGUGUAAACUCCUUUUAUAAGGGAAGAUAAUGACGGUACCUUAUGAAUAAGCACCGGCUAACUCCGUGCCAGCAGCCGCGGUAAUACGGAGGGUGCAAGCGUUACUCGGAAUCACUGGGCGUAAAGGAUGCGUAGGCUGGAGAUCAAGUCAGGAGUGAAAUCCAACGGCUCAACCGUUGAACUGCUCCUGA
RNAcentral lists this ribosomal RNA (544 nucleotides) under epsilon proteobacterium JDS7. RNAcentral's name for it is "bacterial SSU rRNA". It matches the Rfam family "Bacterial small subunit ribosomal RNA", at positions 67 to 630 of the family's 1533-position model. The record is from RNAcentral. Lineage: Bacteria; Pseudomonadati; Campylobacterota.